UAACAGAGGUCUCAAGCGUUGUUCGGAUUCAUUGGGCGUAAAGGGUGUGUAGGUGGCGCCGUAAGUCGGGUGUGAAAUUUCGGAGCUUAACUCCGAAACUGCAUUCGAAUACUGCGGUGCUUUGAGGACUGGAGAGGAGACUGGAAUUCAUGGUGUAGCAGUGAAAUGCGUAGAGAUCAAUGAGGAAGACCAGUGGCGAAGGCGGGUCUCUGGACAGUUCCUGACACUGAGACACGAAGGCCAGGGGAGGCAAACGGG
Molecule: ribosomal RNA, 258 nt
Filed under: uncultured bacterium
Lineage: Bacteria
Description: partial 16S ribosomal RNA
Rfam family: Bacterial small subunit ribosomal RNA
Source: RNAcentral